GCUGGGCACAGUGGUGCAUGCCUGUAAACCCAGCAACUUAGGAGGCUGAGGCAGGAGGAUCACAAGUUCAAAGCCAGCCUCAGCAACUUAGUGAGACUCUGUCUGUA
RNAcentral lists this small RNA (107 nucleotides) under Marmota monax (woodchuck). Lineage: Eukaryota; Metazoa; Chordata; Mammalia; Rodentia; Sciuridae. The record is from RNAcentral.